GGAAUCUUCCACAAUGGACGCAAGUCUGAUGGAGCAACGCCGCGUGAGUGAAGAAGGUCUUCGGAUCGUAAAACUCUGUUGUUAGAGAAGAACACGAGUGAGAGUAACUGUUCAUUCGAUGACGGUAUCUAACCAGCAAGUCACGGCUAACUACGUGCCUAG
This 162-nucleotide ribosomal RNA is filed under the name uncultured bacterium. RNAcentral's name for it is "partial 16S rRNA". It matches the Rfam family "Bacterial small subunit ribosomal RNA", at positions 358 to 512 of the family's 1533-position model. The record is from RNAcentral.